RNAcentral lists this ribosomal RNA (253 nucleotides) under uncultured bacterium. RNAcentral's name for it is "partial 16S ribosomal RNA". It matches the Rfam family "Bacterial small subunit ribosomal RNA", at positions 524 to 776 of the family's 1533-position model. The record is from RNAcentral.
UACGUAGGGGGCUAGCGUUGUCCGGAAUCAUUGGGCGUAAAGCGCGUGUAGGCGGCCCGAUAAGUCCGCUGUGAAAGUCGGGGGCUCAACCCUCGAAAGCCGGUGGAUACUGUCAGGCUAGAGUACGGAAGAGGCGAGUGGAAUUCCUGGUGUAGCGGUGAAAUGCGCAGAUAUCAGGAGGAACGCCGGGGGCGAAAGCGAGUGACUGGCGCGUUCCUGACGCUGAGGUGCGAAAGCUAGGGGAGCAAACAGG